This 544-nucleotide ribosomal RNA is filed under the name uncultured bacterium. Its description in RNAcentral is "bacterial SSU rRNA". It matches the Rfam family "Bacterial small subunit ribosomal RNA", at positions 777 to 1320 of the family's 1533-position model. The record is from RNAcentral.
AAUAGAUACCCCGGUAGUCCACGCCGUAAACGAUGAGUGCUAAGUGUUAGGGGGUUUCCGCCCCUUAGUGCUGCAGCUAACGCAUUAAGCACUCCGCCUGGGGAGUACGGUCGCAAGACUGAAACUCAAAGGAAUUGACGGGGGCCCGCACAAGCGGUGGAGCAUGUGGUUUAAUUCGAAGCAACGCGAAGAACCUUACCAGGUCUUGACAUCCCACUGACCGCUAUGGAGACAUAGUUUUCCCUUCGGGGACAGUGGUGACAGGUGGUGCAUGGUUGUCGUCAGCUCGUGUCGUGAGAUGUUGGGUUAAGUCCCGCAACGAGCGCAACCCUUGAUCUUAGUUGCCAUCAUUUAGUUGGGCACUCUAAGGUGACUGCCGGUGACAAACCGGAGGAAGGUGGGGAUGACGUCAAAUCAUCAUGCCCCUUAUGACCUGGGCUACACACGUGCUACAAUGGACGGUACAAACGGUUGCCAACCCGCGAGGGGGAGCUAAUCCGAUAAACCGUUCUCAGUUCGGAUUGUAGGCUGCAACUCGCCUACA